CAGCCGCCGCGGUAAUACAGAGGGUGCAAGCGUUAAUCGGAAUUACUGGGCGUAAAGCGCGCGUAGGUGGUUUGUUAAGUUGAAUGUGAAAUCCCAGGGCUCAACCUGGGAACUGCAUCCAAAACUGGCAAGCUAGAGUAGGGCAGAGGGUGGUGGAAUUUCCUGUGUAGCGGUGAAAUGCGUAGAUAUAGGAAGGAACACCAGUGGCGAAGGCGACCACCUGGGCUCAUACUGACACUGAGGUGCGAAAGCGUGGGGAGCAAACAGGAUUAGAUACCCCCGUAGUCCCUGUCUCUUAUAC
RNAcentral lists this ribosomal RNA (301 nucleotides) under uncultured bacterium. RNAcentral's name for it is "partial 16S ribosomal RNA". It matches the Rfam family "Bacterial small subunit ribosomal RNA", at positions 509 to 807 of the family's 1533-position model. The record is from RNAcentral.